This 490-nucleotide ribosomal RNA is filed under the name uncultured bacterium. RNAcentral's name for it is "partial 16S ribosomal RNA". It matches the Rfam family "Bacterial small subunit ribosomal RNA", at positions 30 to 507 of the family's 1533-position model. The record is from RNAcentral.
AUUGAACGCUGGCGGCAGGCCUAACACAUGCAAGUCGAACGGUAACAGGAAGAAGCUUGCUUCUUUGCUGAUGAGUGGCGGACGGGUGAGUAAUGUCUGGGAAACUGCCUGAUGGAGGGGGAUAACUACUGGAAACGGUAGCUAAUACCGCAUAACGUCGCAAGACCAAAAAGGGGGACCUUCGGGCCUCUUGCCAUCGGAUGUGCCCAGAUGGGAUUAGCUAGUAGGUGGGGUAACGGCUCACCUAGGCGACGAUCCCUAGCUGGUCUGAGAGGAUGACCAGCCACACUGGAACGGAGACACGGUCCAGACUCCUACGGGAGGCAGCAGUGGGGAAUAUUGCACAAUGGGCGCAAGCCUGAUGCAGCCAUGCCGCGUGUAUGAAGAAGGCCUUCGGGUUGUAAAGUACUUUCAGCGGGGAGGAAGGGAGUAAAGUUAAUACCUUUGCUCAUUGACGUUACCCGCAGAAGAAGCACCGGCUAACUCCGUG